CUAAUCCUGCCGCCGUUCCGGAGCCCAGAACGAACCGCAUGGCAGGAGCGGGGGAACCACCUUUCUACGGGCGCCGAGAGGCGCCCUCGGGGUGAAGCCCUCGACGGACCACCAGGUCCGAGCGAAGGCCGGGCAGCACCUCAGCCCGAACCCGACAGCUCACCUCGCAGGCGCCGAGAGGUCAA
RNAcentral lists this small RNA (185 nucleotides) under Intrasporangium oryzae. Its description in RNAcentral is "c-di-AMP sequence". It matches the Rfam family "c-di-AMP riboswitch aptamer (ydaO/yuaA leader)". Rfam says of the family: This family represents a conserved RNA structure found upstream of the ydaO and yuaA genes in Bacillus subtilis and related genes in other bacteria. The record is from RNAcentral. Lineage: Bacteria; Bacillati; Actinomycetota; Actinomycetes; Micrococcales; Intrasporangiaceae. RNAcentral also lists the same sequence under 1 other name.